GUACGAGUAACGGUUAUCGAUAUCGAGUACAUAUCGCAACUAAUCGCAACUGAAAGUGUCAACAGUAUUUGAAAUCGUAACGAAAGUAUCGAAUUCGUAUAUACUCGUAUCGAUUCGUAGGUGAAAAACCGAACAAUCAGAAGUGCCACAAUGACAGCGUGAAAAUGACCAUAUACGGCGACGAAAACCGUCGUUCAUUGCGCACACCGCUUUCCACCCACGUGCGGGCGGCUGACCGUCGCUCGCGACGAUUAGGAGACCAUGCUGACACGUUGAAGAUAGAUGGAAAUUAUUUGUUGGCUAACACGAGCUGUAAUUGUAGGUAGAUCCAAUGAUGGGGUACAACGUGCGCCUACGUUUAAACGCGUAUGAAGUUAACGAUUUAGAUGCGAUGGAAGAAUCGAGAAGGCCGGUCAGAAUUCGAUCGUAAAUCGAAAUCGAUAUUUUUCAUCAGGGUCGAAAUCGUUGAGACGAAGAAAAGCACGCGCAUGUUUGCCCAAUUGGCGAUGUAGUUUAACAUGUUUUAUGCACGGGAGGACUCUUAACUUCUGGUUAAAUGGUAGCAUAAAUGCCGGUGGUAUGUAACAGCGAUCGUUUCAACGGGUUCAACUUCCUACCAGAACACAACGCUUGGCGUCCACCAGCACCAGCACACUGGAAUGCAGACCGACAGGUUUUGAACCGCGAUAAAGUAUAGUAACGACGUGUGUCUUGAUCUAGGUACUUGCGCGCAGGUUGGUACUGUGCUACAGUGUCAUGCGAUCAGUUCUUUGUAGUACGAAAAUAAAGACUAAUCACAAAUUUCAUGUUUCAGAAUUGAUAAAUAUCUUAGAAUAUUAUUUUUAUGCUGCUACAAGAAAACGUCAUUUUACUUUGUGUAUAGUGCAGUAAUUUUUCUUUGUAAAUCCCAGAAACUUGCGUGAAAGGUUUCUGCGCACAAGCGCCACAUUUGAAAUGUGAAAACGCGCCAAAUACGAAUGCACAAUAAAAGCAUACAUUUUUUAAGCAUUAAUAGUUAUACCUCAAGCAGGAAGGUAUGUCCAGAAAAUUUGAAUUCAUGCAGUAUGAUAGAUGCAAAUAAUUUAAGAGAGUUUAAAUAUAGAAAUAUAUAUUAAUAUAUUAUAUUCAAAUUAACAUGGAUUAACAACAAUUGAUCUUUGUAUUUUACAUUUCUGCAUUCAAUAACUUCAUUCAUGAUUACAUUAUGUAUAAUGUUAUAUGCAUAUUCGAUAAGGUUGCAAAUUUAAAUAAUCAACUCUGCUUACAUUUAAUUUUUCACAUUCUGUUCAUUAAUAAAGUUCGGUUUUGUUACAAUCUAAAAUAUUAAAUAUUCUACUCAAUUAUAUAAGCAAGGUCAAAAACUUAACAAACAUUUUACAAUGGACUGUGUUUAAAAUGAGUAAUAAUUAUAUUAAUAAUAAUAAUAGUAAUAAUAAUAAUAAUAAUAAUAAUAAUAUAUUACGCUAACAAAAUUCGCACAAUAUACAAUUUGUAGAUAUACAUAUAAAUAAACAUCUGUUCCUCAAAAUAAAUGAUUUCUGCGUUUGGCACGAUGUCAUGUAAUGGAAGCAAAUAAACACCAUGUUACAUUUUGAUUGUCCGUGGCUAGUUGUGAUACAAUGAAAUAUAUGAUUUACUUCGUACACUUGCAUUUUGGUGUCUUAAUUAUCGAUGAUGUUUUACUUAAGUCAACCGGUCAUAUGUUAGAAUAAUAAACAAUCAUUCAAUGUGAUGAUAAAUAAUAAUUUUAAUAAAGAUUAUUUAAAAAAAAAUAUUUCUACCAUGUACAAGCUACAAUGAUAUACAAAAAUACUCAAUAAAUAAGUCGUUUUAUACAAUUACUGCUUCAUCAAUUUUUACACUUAUCAUCUCUAUACAAAUAUUACAAUAAAUCAUUUAAAUACAAAUAUCCAUAGACCGGUUGACUAAGAGUAUUUUGCCCAAUAUCAGGAUUUACUGGUGUAUUGCUUUACGUUGCAUCACUAAUCGAUUACUAGAAUUUGUGACGGAUCGAUUAGCUACAUCACUAUUUACUGUAAAUGGCAUCCCACCCCCUAGUUAAUUAGAUUAGAAUAAACUACGUGGAAGAACAGAUCUUCAGUCAUAGCAAAUAAAAGCUAGACUUAAAGUUUCAACGAAUAGUAAAAACUGUGAUAUUACUUCCAAUAUAUACGUAGAUCAAAAUAUUGAGGUGUCAGCAAGAAUGCCAAUCAACAAUAUCAGAAAAACAUGAGUAACACCCAUUUCCCCAACCAAUAAAACUCAUAAAGAUGUAAAAACUUUCGUUUCACCAAAAUAUAACAACAACAAUAACAAGACAUGUUCCGUUUUGUAAUAAUAUCACAGACAA
Long non-coding RNA from Megachile rotundata (alfalfa leafcutting bee), 2350 nucleotides. NCBI's taxonomy places the organism in Eukaryota, Metazoa, Arthropoda, Insecta, Hymenoptera, Megachilidae. The record is from RefSeq and is a predicted model, not a curated record.